UGGAAAAUGUCUAUUCAUGUCUUCUGUCCAUUUCUCGACUGGAUUAUUUGUUUUUUGGGUGGUAAGUUCUUUAAAGAGUUUGGAUACUACACUUUAUCUGAGUCCUCAUAAAGGACUUCAUUUGCAAAUAUCUCCUCCCAUUCUCUAGGCUGCCAUUUGGUUUUAUUGGUUGUUUCCUUUGCUGGUGCAGAAGCUUUUUAUCUUGAUGAAGUCUCCCAAUAGUUCAUUUUUGCUUUUGCUUCCCUUGCCUCUGGAGACGUGUCUAGCAAGAAGCUGCUGCAGCUGAGGUCAAAGAGAUUGCUGUCUAUGUUCUCCUCUAGGAUACUGAUGGUCUCCUGUCCCACGCUUAGGUCUUUCUUCCAUUGAUAAUCCUAUCUUUAAUUUCUUUGAGACCCCUCCGGACCAGCUAGCAUUCCCACCAGCAUGUAAGAGGUCCCAUUUCUCCACAUCCUUGCCAAUGUCCAGCCAGUCUUGCCUUUUGGGUGAAAAAUUCAGGCCAUUGAGAGUACCAUGGACUGGCCAGGACUUACUCAUGCUCUCUUAUUGAUGGUUCUCUGGCUGUUCUUUUAGUUCUUCUGUUCCUUUCUUCCUUGGGUUUUUGUGGUCCUUGAAGUGUUUCACUGCUUUCUUCAAUGUGAAAGAGCAGUCGCCUCCUCAAGGGUUCACUGACUGUGUCUUGGACUGAAAUACCUGGAGGCCCUCCAAGUCGGCUGCAGUCCACCUGCUCUGCGCCCCUUGUACCCUCCUGUGGUGGAGUUCUUUGGGGGCAUGUGCGCCUCCUCUCCACGCCGCUGGCCCUGCACCAGGCAGGGUACCCACAGCCUCCUUUUGUUCUCACAAACAAAACUUGCUCAGUGGGUGGAGCUUCUGCUCUGGAAACCUGGACCUGCACCCACGCUCCAGCUGUCAAGUGUUUCCCAGGGGCUCCUGGACCCUGGCUCAGAGGGGCCACUGCGGGGUGCACGGCCAGGACUGGAGGCCUAUCACCUGAUCCCCGAGGAUGUGAGAUGCCUCCCGGACCCUGUGAGUGUGUUGCUGGGUACCUCAGCUCCCGCAAGGGCGCUUCUGUCCCAAGGCAAGUGUCAGAUCACUGUGACUGAGGUUGGGGCGGGGGUGGGGAGGGCAAAGGCAAGAGAGGUCUUACUCUACCUUGAUGCCAAAGCCACUUGUCCCCUGCACUUUGGAAUCGCCACAGUUCUUCAGGGUCUUCCCAGCAUCCCUCAUCUCUGGAGCCUCCUCACACAUGUGGCCCCGCAUCCUCAUCCUUUCCAAGGGGUUCAUGAUGAGCUUAACCUCUACAACCCCACAGGUCUCCUGCCCACCUUCUGCUGAAACCUGACUUUCUUAU
Long non-coding RNA from Canis lupus familiaris (dog), 1348 nucleotides. RefSeq lists it as uncharacterized. The record is from RefSeq and is a predicted model, not a curated record. The transcript has 2 exons. Lineage: Eukaryota; Metazoa; Chordata; Mammalia; Carnivora; Canidae.